ACUCCUACGGGAGGCAGCAGUAGGGAAUCUUCCACAAUGGACGAAAGUCUGAUGGAGCAACGCCGCGUGAGUGAAGAAGGGUUUCGGCUCGUAAAACUCUGUUGUUAAAGAAAGAACAUAUCUGAGAGUAACUGUUCAGGUAUUGACGGUAUUUAACCAGAAAGCCACGGCUAACUACGUGCCAGCAGCCGCGGUAAUACGUAGGUGGCAAGCGUUGUCCGGAUUUAUUGGGCGUAAAGCGAGCGCAGGCGGUUUUUAAGUCUGAUGUGAAAGCCUUCGGCUCAACCGAAGAAGUGCAUCGGAAACUGGGAAACUUGAGUGCAGAAGAGGACAGUGGAACUCCAUGUGUAGCGGUGAAAUGCGUAGAUAUAUGGAAGAACACCAGUGGCGAAGGCGGCUGUCUGGUCUGUAACUGACGCUGAGGCUCGAAAGUAUGGGCAGCAAACAGGAUUAGAUACCCUGGUAGGAUAGCG
This 473-nucleotide ribosomal RNA is filed under the name uncultured bacterium. RNAcentral's name for it is "bacterial SSU rRNA". It matches the Rfam family "Bacterial small subunit ribosomal RNA", at positions 335 to 802 of the family's 1533-position model. The record is from RNAcentral.